RNAcentral lists this ribosomal RNA (434 nucleotides) under uncultured bacterium. RNAcentral describes it as "partial 16S ribosomal RNA". It matches the Rfam family "Bacterial small subunit ribosomal RNA", at positions 29 to 507 of the family's 1533-position model. The record is from RNAcentral.
AGUGAACGCUGGCGGCAUGCCUAACACAUGCAAGUCGAACGAACCUUCCGGUGUUUGUGGCGGACGGCUGAUUAACACGUGGUAACGUGCCCUUAGGUUCGGUAUACCUCAGGGCAACUUGUGCUAAUGCCGCAUGUGCUCUUCCGGGGAAAGACUUAUAGGCUUUAGGGCGGCCUGCGUCUGAUUAGCUUGUUGUUUAAGGUACUGGCUCACAAAGGCGUCGUUCAGUAGCUGGUCGGCGAGAAUGAUCCGCCACGGUGGCACUGAGACACGGCCCACAAUCCGACGGAAGGGGGGAGUGGGGAAUCUAGCGGAAUGGGGGAAGGCCUGACGGAGCCAUGCGGGGUGAAUGAUGAAGGUCGUAGGAAACUAAAAUUCUUUCACCGGGGACGAUAAUGACGGUACCCGGAGAAGAAGCACCGGCUAACUACGUG